Long non-coding RNA from Cygnus olor (mute swan), 743 nucleotides. RefSeq lists it as uncharacterized. The record is from RefSeq and is a predicted model, not a curated record. The transcript is spliced from 2 exons. NCBI's taxonomy places the organism in Eukaryota, Metazoa, Chordata, Aves, Anseriformes, Anatidae.
AUCACUUUAAACCUGUGCAAAUACACCAGGCUGGGCUCCCUUCACUGGGUCACUACCGAGAUAGGUAAGAGGGGCAUGGUAAGGCGUCCCAUGUUUCUCUUGUGACCUUUCCACUUGCUGGGGCUCCGGCAGACAAAGUUUCUCUGGACUUUGCCUUGUCCUCUUCGCACUCCCAGCACGGCGUCAGAGACUCAACUCUGUCUGACUUGCAACACUGCUUUUUUUCCACAGCAUUUCGUCAGAUUGCUGUAGCAACUCAGGCCUAUGCUGUCUCCCGAUCUCUCUUUGCCAAUCCCGUUGUGACACUGCGUCUUGGAGCAAUCUGUUCCUGUCCAUAAACAAUGGGCCUACUUGAAGUGGUUGUAUCCACAGCCUCUUGAGCUGCUAAAGCUGCAAAACGAUGUGUGGGGGAAGACAGUGUUUUGCAGGUGGCCUCAUACAUCUCAGGGUUAACCAGCUCAGACAGGGUUUUCACAAUCCAGCCAAGGACUUCAGGAGCCCCUGUGCAGCCUUCUGGCAACUCAGUCCACCAAAAUCCUUCUAACAGCCUGGAUCCCAACCACAACAUGUUCCAAACGUGCUGCUGAGGAAAAUCGUAUGCAUCGUGCCAUUUAAUACAAUUUUAACUCCAUUAUCCUUUAAAAAUGCAUCAUACAUGUCUACUGCUUGCAAAAGUUACCUGUAUUAUAUCAUUUGUAAAAUCUGUAAAUGAUGCUAUGGUUACAUAAAAAAAGAGAUUUACA